GGAAUAUUGGGCAAUGGAGGAAACUCUGACCCAGCGACGCCGCGUGCGGGAUGAAGGCCUUCGGGUUGUAAACCGCUUUCAGCAAGGAAGAAGCGAAAGUGACGGUACCUGCAGAAGAAGCACCGGCUAACUAUGUGCCAGCAGCCGCGGUAAUACAUAGGGUGCAAGCGUUGUCCGGAAUUAUUGGGCGUAAAGAGCUCGUAGGUGGUUCGUCACGUCGGAUGUGAAAAUCUGGGGCUUAACCCCAGACCUGCAUUCGAUACGGGCGAGCUAGAGUGUGGUAGGGGAGACUGGAAUUCCUGGUGUAGCGGUGGAAUGCGCAGAUAUCAGGAGGAACACCAAUGGCGAAGGCAGGUCUCUGGGCCAUUACUGACACUGAGGGGCGAAAGCGUGGGGAGCGAACAGGAUUAGAUACCCUGGUAGUCCACGCCGUAAACGGUGGGCACUAGUUGUGGGAACCUUCCACGGUUUCUGCGACGCAGCUAACGCAUUAAGUGCCCCCCCUGGGGAGUACGAUCGCAAGAUUAAAACUCAAAGGAAUUGACGG
This 547-nucleotide ribosomal RNA is filed under the name uncultured bacterium. Its description in RNAcentral is "bacterial SSU rRNA". It matches the Rfam family "Bacterial small subunit ribosomal RNA", at positions 358 to 916 of the family's 1533-position model. The record is from RNAcentral.